RNAcentral lists this ribosomal RNA (253 nucleotides) under uncultured bacterium. RNAcentral's name for it is "partial 16S ribosomal RNA". It matches the Rfam family "Bacterial small subunit ribosomal RNA", at positions 524 to 776 of the family's 1533-position model. The record is from RNAcentral.
UACGGAGGGGGCUAGCGUUGUUCGGAAUUACUGGGCGUAAAGAGCUCGUAGGUGGUUUGUCGCGUUGUUCGUGAAAACCGGAGGCUUAACCUUCGGCGUGCGGGCGAUACGGGCAGACUGGAGUACUGCAGGGGAGACUGGAAUUCCUGGUGUAGCGGUGGAAUGCGCAGAUAUCAGGAGGAACACCGGUGGCGAAGGCGGGUCUCUGGGCAGUAACUGACGCUGAGGAGCGAAAGCGUGGGGAGCGAACAGG